GAUGAACGCUGGCGGCGUGCCUAAUACAUGCAAGUCGAGCGAACAGACGAGGAGCUUGCUCCUCUGACGUUAGCGGCGGACGGGUGAGUAACACGUGGAUAACCUACCUAUAAGACUGGGAUAACUUCGGGAAACCGGAGCUAAUACCGGAUAAUAUAUUGAACCGCAUGGUUCAAUAGUGAAAGACGGUUUUGCUGUCACUUAUAGAUGGAUCCGCGCCGCAUUAGCUAGUUGGUAAGGUAACGGCUUACCACGGCGACGAUGCGUAGCCGACCUGAGAGAGUGAUCGGCCACACUGGAACUGAGACACGGUCCUGAGUCCUACGGGAGGCAGCAGUAGGGAAUCUGCCGCAAUAGGCGAAAGCCUGACGGAGCGACGCCGCGUGAGUGAUGAAGGUCUUCGGUUCGUAAAACUCUGUUAUUAGGGAAGAACAAAUGUGGAAGUAACUAUGCACGUCUUGACGGUACCUAAUCAGAAAGCCACGGCUAACUACGUG
Molecule: ribosomal RNA, 497 nt
Filed under: uncultured bacterium
Lineage: Bacteria
Description: partial 16S ribosomal RNA
Rfam family: Bacterial small subunit ribosomal RNA
Source: RNAcentral